UAUUAAUUGAGAAAAUAAUCAGGCAAAUAAUUGACAAUUGGAAAUAUUCAAUAGCUGCAGCCCUGUGACUAUUGGAUCUAGUCACCAUGGGUUCACUACAGGGGAUCUGUCACUUUAAGAGAGUGUUGUAUUGUGGGUUGUUUCCUUUGACUGCUAGAGUUGGAGCUACAAAACAAAAAAGUUGACCACUGAAAUGUCAUGUUUUGAGAUGGCAAAAGGCCGACUUAAAAUGCUAAUAGCAAAAAACAAAACAAAACUGUUUUUGUGAACCCACACAGCACUGAGCUGUGGGUACAUGACUGAAAACACAAGAGUGAAGGAGUACUUGUCACACUUGGCAAACAAAUUUGGACAAACAACCAAAGGAAGGCGAGGCUGUGCUUAUCUUCAUGUUCUGUCUGCUGCCCCCAAGACACCGGGUCUGGAGGUGGCAAUGGUAGAUGUGCUGUGCUGGAGGGGAGAGUGGAAUAGAAGAGAGUGAGAAAGAGUAAUUUCACCACUGGUUUAUCAAACACCUCCACAGUCAAUCUCUGGCUCUCACCAACUUCAUCAUUGCAUAGAGAAACUCUUCUUCACCACUUUGCACUUUUUUUCUAGUGGGGUGCUGUAUAGUAUGUGUUGUGCUGACU
RNAcentral lists this long non-coding RNA (629 nucleotides) under Mastacembelus armatus (zig-zag eel). Its description in RNAcentral is "lncRNA (ENSMAMG00000027275.1)". Lineage: Eukaryota; Metazoa; Chordata; Actinopteri; Synbranchiformes; Mastacembelidae. The record is from RNAcentral.